ACUCCUACGGGAGGCAGCAGUAGGGAAUCUUCGGCAAUGGGGGGGAACCCUGACCGAGCAACGCCGCGUGAGUGAAGAAGGUUUUCGGAUCGUAAAGCUCUGUUGUAAGAGAAGAACGAGUGUGAGAGUGGAAAGUUCACACUGUGACGGUAACUUACCAGAAAGGGACGGCUAACUACGUGCCAGCAGCCGCGGUAAU
This 199-nucleotide ribosomal RNA is filed under the name uncultured bacterium. RNAcentral describes it as "partial 16S ribosomal RNA". It matches the Rfam family "Bacterial small subunit ribosomal RNA", at positions 335 to 524 of the family's 1533-position model. The record is from RNAcentral.